Molecule: ribosomal RNA, 427 nt
Filed under: uncultured bacterium
Lineage: Bacteria
Description: bacterial SSU rRNA
Rfam family: Bacterial small subunit ribosomal RNA
Source: RNAcentral
UGGGGAAUUUUGGACAAUGGGCGCAAGCCUGAUCCAGCCAUGCCGCGUGCGGGAAGAAGGCCUUCGGGUUGUAAACCGCUUUUGUCGGGGAAGAAAUCUCUCGGGCUAAUACCUCGGGGGGAUGACGGUACCCGAAGAAUAAGCACCGGCUAACUACGUGCCAGCAGCCGCGGUAAUACGUAGGGUGCGAGCGUUAAUCGGAAUUACUGGGCGUAAAGCGUGCGCAGGCGGUCGUGCAAGACAGAUGUGAAAUCCCCGGGCUCAACCUGGGAACUGCAUUUGUGACUGCACGGCUGGAGUACGGCAGAGGGGGAUGGAAUUCCGCGUGUAGCAGUGAAAUGCGUAGAUAUGCGGAGGAACACCGAUGGCGAAGGCAGUCCCCUGAGCCUGUACUGACGCUCAUGCACGAAAGCGUGGGGAGCAAACA